Molecule: ribosomal RNA, 253 nt
Filed under: uncultured bacterium
Lineage: Bacteria
Description: partial 16S ribosomal RNA
Rfam family: Bacterial small subunit ribosomal RNA
Source: RNAcentral
UACGAAGGGGGCUAGCGUUGCUCGGAAUUACUGGGCGUAAAGGGAGCGUAGGCGGACAUUUAAGUCAGGGGUGAAAUCCCGGGGCUCAACCUCGGAACUGCCUUUGAUACUGGAUGUCUUGAGUGUGAGAGAGGUAUGUGGAACUCCGAGUGUAGAGGUGAAAUUCGUAGAUAUUCGGAAGAACACCAGUGGCGAAGGCGACAUACUGGCUCAUUACUGACGCUGAGGCUCGAAAGCGUGGGGAGCAAACAGG